GCGAACUCUUCCCAUGUCAUACUGUCUAUUCUGGGGUCCACAUAGUUCUUGAACCAUUCUCUGGUUUUCUUACAUUUUAAUGUGAACCCUGCCAUCUCAAUGGCCCUGCUCUCGUCUGCUCCUAACUCACUUGUUAUCAUCCUGACUGCACUGAGAUACUCAAAGGGAUCAUCUCCCGUAUUGAAUUUAGGAGCAUCCAACUUUAAGUACUCCGUCAUCUUCACCUUAGUUCCCCCUGAAGAACUGGGUUGUGCUUCAACAACAGGGGCUACUGGUUCAGGUGGUGGUGGUGGAGGUACUGUUUCUCUGGAUUCAGGCGAUGCUGAACUUGGAUAAAAAGGUGGGGGUGGAUACAUGUGAUAUGGUGGAUAGAAGGAAG
RNAcentral lists this long non-coding RNA (379 nucleotides) under Manihot esculenta (cassava). Its description in RNAcentral is "long non-coding RNA (MESC_LNC000217)". Lineage: Eukaryota; Viridiplantae; Streptophyta; Magnoliopsida; Malpighiales; Euphorbiaceae. The record is from RNAcentral.